Passer domesticus (house sparrow) is the source of this 9098-nucleotide long non-coding RNA. RefSeq lists it as uncharacterized. The transcript is spliced from 3 exons. Lineage: Eukaryota; Metazoa; Chordata; Aves; Passeriformes; Passeridae. The record is from RefSeq and is a predicted model, not a curated record.
CCCUGUCUCCCCAGUCUCCUUUCUGGGAGGGCUUUUCCUCCUCUUCCGUUUGCCCGCAGUCUGGGAAUCAAAGAAUCCUUAUCAGUGCUUCCUUCCUCUCAGAAAGCUGGAAUUCGCAGUGUCCACCCCAAAUGUCUAUUGGCCUAAGCAAAUUCUUCCAAACCCCGAAGAGCUGAGAAAAGGGCUGGAUAUGGCAGGGGGCUGCAGCAGGCUGCCAACGAUGGAGGUUGGAGGAAAAUACUCCCCUUUACCACAGCUCUAAGGGGGUGGGAUAAAUACGUGGCUAUCUCUAGUUCCUCAUGUCUUAUUUCUACCUCUCUGCCUAACAUCUAUUUAUCUCUGGUUUUCCUCCCCACAUGUCUAGGGCAUGGCUUUGACAUUCAGUCAAACUAGUGAAGACACAUGAUUACCCAUUUUCUGCUACCCAAAAUAAUCUCUCUCUCUCUGUCUCUCUCUGUGAAGCAAAUUGCUCUUUGCUGGUAAGGAAAGUAUUAAAGGUGCCAUAGCACCGGCAGCUCCUUCUUGGGAUACGCUGUGGUGCUACAAAAGAUCUCUAAAAUUUGGCAGCAUCUCCAUGAAGGCGGCCCAGAUGGCUGAUGUUAGCAAGCAGUGGGGAAUGAAAGGUCUGAUUGGAAUCUGAGGGUGCCAGCCCUUGAGAAACUGAUUUGUAGAGAGUCAAAGCCCAUUUUGGUGGUGGUGCUGCUGCUUUGUUGGGUCAACGUUCUGCUCCAGAAUUCCAUAUUUUAGGCUAGCAGCAUAACGAAGCCUUGGGCAGCAUCUGCUGCACCUUUCCCAGUACAUGGGACUGUGAUUGGUGUUACCAGUCACAGCUAGAAGAUCUGCCUUCUGAUUCCCCAGUGGGAGACAAGCCAAACCAACUUGCAGAGCAAGCCAAAUAAUUGUUGAUUAGACACUUCUUUUAGCAUGGAGUGUUCUGCCCUUUUAGCUGUCCUGGUUAUAUAGGCCAAAUCAGUUACUAGAUUAAAAGGUUGUUGUAAUUUUUUAAAUGCUCUGACAUCAGCAGCCAACUCAGGAAUUUGGGGGGUUCCUUCAAUGACUUGAACAUCCUACUCCCACUUCUGAGUGUUUGGAUCCUUCCAAGUGAUAACCGAUUUGUGUGAUUUUCCAGAGCGAUCUGUAAAAACUGUGAGGGCUUUAAGAGGAACCUUACCUUUUAGAGAAUUUGGGACUAGAUGGAAUGUUUCUUUUAGUAGCUUGUGUUUUGGAUAAUGAAUAGAGACUUGUCCGGGAUAGCUGUCUAAAUCAAACUGAAGGUAUCCAUUUGUCUGUAAUAGCGAUUCUAAUUUGUGUAGUUGAAAUGCUGGAUAAAUGUAUGUUGGGUCACACGCUGCAGGGGUUCGGAGGUGGUUCCUGUCUUUAAUGAUUAACUGAGCUAAAAGCUCUUGAGGGAUUGUAAUAGUUUUUUUGGUGUGGCAAAAAUACCCAUUCUACAAUUAACAAUUUUUCUGUAGAAGACGGGUCCCACUGAAAAAGCAGUGCCUGGAAAUGUGGGGAUUUACCAAGACUAGCAAACUGGGAGGUUAGAGAGCAGUCAGCGCGGUGUGCUUUUCGAGAUGAGAUAGCAGGUGCUACCUUUCGCAGCGCGUCGUGGGCAUCUGGAGUUAAGAUGCGCUGGGAAGUCAGGUCAUGGCUCCCCUUCAGUAGGCUGAACAAAGGGCACAGCUCUUCUCUCGUGAGUCCAAGCAGUGGUCGGAUCCAGGUGAUGGAGCCACACAACUGUUGUAUGUCCCUUAGCAUUUGAGCCUUAUCUUUGAUGGAGAUAUUUUGGGGAAUAAUGGCUCACCCGCUGAUAAGGAAUCCAAGGUACUUCCACAGGGAGGUCUACUGGGUUUUUCAGGAGCAAUAUCAAAACCUGCAUCUUCAACUGCUGUCACAGUCUUUCUGAUCACUGGGUUAAGGUAAGUCUUUUCUUGGGAGCAAAUUAAAAUGUCGUCCAUAUAAUGCCGAAAUAUAGCUUCAGGGAAGGCUUUCCUGAUUGGAGAUAGAAUCCCAGCCACAAACAUUUGACAUAAAACAGGGGAAGUUUUCAUUCCCUGUGGCAAUGUGACCUAAUGAUAUCUUUUAAAGGGUUCUUGACAGUUGAUUGGUAUCGAAAAUGCGAAUUUGGGAGUGCGGGACAGAGAGGGAUGUUGAAUAAACAGUCUUUGAUAUCAAGGAUUGUGAGCUGCCAGUCCCUGGGAAGUACAGAAGGUGAGGGGAGCCCUGGUUGCAAGGAGCCCAUGUCUUCUAAAACAUAAUUUACUUUCCAAAAGUCUUGUAAUAACCUCCAUCUGUCUUUGCCAGGUUUUUUAUAAAAAGACAUGGGUCAGGAGCUAGUUGAUGGUACAAUGUGUCCUUUUAAUAAUUGUUCCUGUACUGGGGCAUGGAGCACUUCUAAUUUGUCAUUUGGAAGGCCCAAUGAUCCACCCACACAGGAUCAUACCCACAGGGAGGGAUCAUACCUUUUCCCACAGAUGGACAACAGCCAUAUUGAGUGGUUUAGUUUUCAUUUCUUUUUAAUUCCCAAAGUUUCAUUUUUUUCAACAUUGUAAUACAGCAUCUCUAUUCAAAUCAUUAUACUCACCUUGGUUAAUUAAAUAUUUAUUAAUUUAUUUUGCCCCCAUAAUAUCAGACAAAAGCAUAGGACAAAAGCAUAGGAAGAACAACAAGCAAUUACAGAAAUACAGUAUCUUCCCUGAAAAUCCCUUGGAAACCAUGUUAAAACAAUGGGAAGAACAUCAACUUACUAAAGAUAAAGACCCACAGCUCAAGAUUGUGCAUUGCAUGUUAGAAUGGCCAAAGAAGAAAUUAAAACAAGGUCUUCGCUGGCUGAAGCAUGGGUCUACCAGGAUGUGGAUUUGCGAAGUACUUUACAAUUACGCCCAAAAUAAAUUAAAUGCAGACUGGAAUUGCAGUAUGUGGAGGUCUGGUUUAAAUAUUGGAACAGCGAAAAGGAAGUAGAAACAGAUAAACCAAAUUCUCUCUGUAAUGAUCAAUGAUAAAGACACAACGAGGAAAACCAAUCAACCAAGGUGGGACUCAUUAAAUUUCCUCCCCCCUACUGCACCUCCCAACGAACCAGCUGCAACUGCAGCUGAGUCAUUGGAGGCUUCAAUGAGUCAUGUAACUGAGAGGGCUGAAGAAAUUGAAAGUAGCAGUGGGACAUCAGAAGAAACGUAUAUUCUAUCAUUCUCCUCCAGGCAAAUUACAAAUUCAGCCAUGCAGGAAGUUCCAUCCAAUCAAGAAGGUCCAGCCUUCUUCACUUGAAGGAGAACCCUGGUAGUACAAAAGUGUUCCUCCUGCUCCAGCAGUAAAGAUAAAACAAAGGUGGCAUCCCUCAGAGAGGUCCCAAUGGAGGGUGCACAAGGUGGAAUAGGAUAUGUAAAUGCACCCCUCACCUCUUCAGAAGUGAGGCAUUUUAAAAAGGAAAUGGAGAUAUUAUUCAGUGACCCAGUAGGUAUGUCAGAAAAAGUUUACCAGUUCUUAGGCUCUAGGAUUUACCCUAGGGGAAAAUGAAAUUCAAUAAUGCAAACCCUUUUCUCUCCAGAGAAGAGAAAAGUUAUUUAGACUGCAGGGAUCAAUAUAUUGGACAGAGAACAUAAUUUAGGAACAACUGGAGAGAAGAAAUUACCAUUAACAGAUCCAGAAUGGAACCCUAACUCAGAUGAGGGAAGAAAAAGUAUAGCAGAAUACAGAACCCGAAUUGUAAGGGGAAUAAAAGAGGCAGUCCCCAGAGUUAAUAACAUGAAGAAAGCCUUUGGUAGCAAACAAUAAAAACAUGAGAGCCCAACUGACUGUAUAACUCGCUUAAAUAAUAACAUCCAAUUAUAUUUAGAAAGAGAUUUAGGUAGUGAAGGAGGAAAGACAAUGUUCUAGGUCCACUUUGGGUUACAUUCUUGGCCUGACAUAAAACAGAAAUUAGAGAAAUUAGAUGGAUGGCCAGAAAGAAGUUUAGAUGAGUUAUUAGCUGAAGCACAGUAAGUUUAUGCCAGGUGAAAUGAAGAGAAAAUGAAGACUAAAGCUAAGAUGAUGGCUGCUGUCCAAAUUCCUAAACCAAUUAGGCAGGAUGGGGAGAAUAUUCAAUUGAAGAAACCUAUUUGCUUUUAUUGUAAGAAAGAAGACCAUAUGCAAUCCUGCUGUUUUAAGACAUUGAGGGACUUAAGAGAUUCUCCAAGUGGAGAAUCAACCCUCAGAGAACUGAGGGGGUCAGGGGCUCUUCUUCUUGGGGCACAAAAACCAUCUUCAAGAGCCCUUGAUAAAAUCAAGGAUAGGACCCCUAGAACAAUUAAUGGAAUUUUUAGUAGACACAGGAGCAGAGACAACUUGUUUAACUGAAAAACCAAAUGCAUGUGCCAUAAGCAAAGACACUUUCAAUAUUUGUGCUGCUAAAGGGGAAUCCUUCCCCAUUCCCAUCAUUAAGAAUGUCACUAUAAAGGGUAAUGGACUAACCAGAAAGGGAGAUUUGUUUUUCUACCUCCAGCAGGUAACAACUUACUUGGCCAGGAUCUCCAGAUACCUUUGAAAGUUGGAGUAGUUCCACAAGAAGGAAGGAUGAAGGUCAUUUUGUUUACUUUAUCCACACAAGAUGAAAACUGAUUAAUCCUACAGUGUAAGCCCAACCAGAUUCUCCUUCUAGACACCUGUUUGCUUCCACCUGGGAAGAUCCAGACACUGGAAGGAAACAGCAGCUCACCUGGACCUGGUGACUGCAAGGGUACAUGGAGUCUCCCACACUCUUCGGUCAAGCCUUGGAGAGCCUGUUCAUUCCCUUUUCUCCACCCUCAGGAAUACAAGUAACACAGUAUGUAGAUGACAUACUACUCUCCAGAGAGCAAGAAUCCACUGUAAAAUUAGGCACCAUUCAGUUACUGAACCUUCUAGGAGAGAAUGGACUAAUAGUAUCUAAAUCCAAAUUACAAUUUGUUAAACCAAAGUAAAAUAUUUCGGACAUGUAAUUGGUCAUGGUACCAGAAAAUUGAGUACUGAAAGGAUAGAAGGGAUUUUAAAUUUACAACCUCCCCAAACAAAGAGCGAGGUUAGACAAUUAUUAGGCUUAAUGAGGUACUGUAGAAUAUGGAUUGAUGAAUACACACAAAGUGUCACAAUUUUAUAUGAAAAAUUAACUACAUCAGAACCUAUUAAUUGGACCCAAGAGGAUAAUAAAAACUUAGAAAAUUUAAAGCAAAAGAUGAUUCAGACCCCAGUUCUCUUUCUUCCUUCACUAGAAGAAGAUUUUCACCACUAUAUUAACAUAGAGAAAGGAAUUCCUUAUGAGGUCUUGGCCCAAGAGUGGUCAGGAAUCCAUAAACCUGUAGCCUACUUGUCCAUAUUGUUGGUCCCUGUGUCCCAAGGAUGGCAAACAUGCAUCCAACCAAUCACUGCAGCAGCCAUCCUAGUAACAGCCAGCCAAAAACUUACAUUUGAGAGAAAUCUGACAGAAUACAUACCACACUCCACCCAAACCAUUCUUAAACAACGAGCAGCCGAAUGGCUAACAGACUCUCAUAUUAUACAAUAUGGGAGCACCCUCAUCCAUUCCACAACUGUAACCCUGAAAACAACCACCCACACCAAUCCUGCACAGUUCCUAUGUGGAAUUCCCCAAAAACAAGAUCUCGUGCACAACUGCAGAGUUUUUAUAAACCUGCAAACAAAAAUUCAAGAAGACCUCCUAGAGAGCCCAUUAGAUGAAGGAGAAAUCCUGUUCAUCGACGGAUCAUCUAGAGUAGUAAAUGGAAAGAGGUGCUCUGGAUACUCCAUCAGAGAUGGAAAAGAACUGUACAGGUUAGAAAAGGAAAACUACCACCUUCCUGGUCUACCCAGGUAUGUGAAUUAGAUGCUUUGGAAAAAGCAUUGCACAGACUAGACAGAGCUAUUGGAACCAUUUAUACGGACUCUAAAUAUGCAUAUGGAGUAGUCCACACGUUUGGGAAAAGCUGGGCUGAAAGAGGGUUUCCCACAUCUAAGGCCAAAGACAUUUUACACAAAGAACUUAUAUUAAAAAUUUUAGAGGCACUUAAGUUACCGAAAGAAAUUGCAAUGGUACGUGUUCCAGGUCAUCAAAAGGGAACUCUGGAGAAACCAGAGGAAACAUCCUAGCAGACCAUGCUGCAAAGGAGGCUGCUUUUGAGGGGGAAUUAAAGGAGAAACAACAUGAAUAGAACCAAGGCCAGUUCCAGGUAGGACUUUCCUGCAUUUAGGUCCCUUCCUGCAUCCAGGUACACUCCCAUGAAAACCAAGGGGUCUGAACCCAGUAGGAAAACCAGAGAGGUUGAAUGGUCUGCACCACCUAUCAAAGAGUACCACAGCACUUCAAUCUUCCCAUUGACCCCUGAGCGAGGGAAGGGAAGGUGCGCCCUACUCCUCAUACUCUCCCUCUGGAUCCUGUAGAUCCCCCUUGUCAGAGCCUGCAUCUGCUGCCACCAAUGCUAACAUACAGUGUACCUGACCAAAGGAAACUCCUACCUCAUAAAACACUCAUUCCAGGCACAUUCUUAUGUAAAUCCCUUUUGUUAUAAUAUGAUGACACUGAGUAGAUACUGACAAUCGGACAAAAACCAAUGGAUUGGUAGAAAUAUUGGAAAUGCAAACCAGAAAAGGAAUGGAGAGUGUCCUGAUCAAGAGAUUUGGCUAUAUGUCAAAUUUAAUUAUAUAACGAAAAAGAAGGAUUUGUUAAAAAGGAAAACUUAUGAUGUUGAUUUGAUUCGAGAAAUUGUAAUAACUGAAAGGGGGAAACAAAAGGGGGACAAUCCAUUAGCUACCGAUAAAAACUUAUUUACUGUUUUAGCAGAACAAAUUAGUAAAAAUCAAAAUAUAACCAAUUGUUGGGUUUGUGGAGGCACCUUCAAAUCAGAAGCCUGGCCUCAGCAAGGAGUCAGUAUUGGACCCCUCAAAUGACUUAAACUAAAUUAUUUCCCCUCCCAAACUCCAAGAGAUCAAGACAAUUGGCUAUUGAGGGACACAGUUCUUGGAGAAGAAUAUAUCUGGAGAAAAGGAAAAAGAUACACUGAGGAAGUUGGAGAAACUACCUGUAAAAGAUAUUUACUAACUGAGGAUCACAAGACGUGGUGGAUACUGAACGAACCAGAUACCUUUUGGUCAAAGAAGAAAAUCAGAAACAAGAACUGCAUAUUACAUCCCAAUGAACAACUUUAUCAGUGCUGGGACCCUAAAAGUCAGCCUUUAUUCAGUAUUACCCCAAGUUUCUAAGUAUUGGACCUCCACUUUUAUCACGCUUUCACAUUUUUGGGAGGCCCCCCAAGGUUUAUACUGGAAUUGUGGGCAAAGAGCAUAUUCUAAACUCCCUUCUCACUGGUGUGGCAAUUGUACCUUAGGAGCAAUACGACCUAGCCCCUUUCUACUAUCAGAAGCAGCUGGAAACCAGCUCGGAGUUCCCCUAGAUGAUAAAUUAAAGAGACAAAAAAGAUGUGAAAUAGGGGGAAUGUAACAAUGGGGUGAGGAAGAGUGGCCACCAGAGAGAAUUUUAGAAACUUACGGACCUGCCACUUGGGCUCAGGAUGGGAGCUGGGGCUAUCAAACUCCCAUUUACAUGCUAAAUCACAUUACUGGACUACAAGCCCUGAUUCACGUCAUAUCUAAUCAGGCCAAGAGUGCAAUUGAUUUUUUCAACGCCCAACAGAAGCAAAUGAAAACAGCUGUAUAUCAAAACUCUUUAGCCCUAGAUUAUUUAUUAGCCAAAGAGCGUGGAAUAUGCGGCAAUUUCAACACAUCAGACUAUUGUCUGCAUAUUGAUGACCAUGGUGAAACUAUUACUAAAAUUACCCAAAACAUCAGAAAGCUUACACAUGUUCCAGUCCAGUUUUCACCUGAUUAGUGGAAAAAUAUGUUCUCUAGGGAGUGGUAGAAGAAAGCCUUAAUUAUUUUUCGAGUUUCCUUAGUUAGCCUUCUCUUUCUCCCAUGCUUAAUCCCAUGUUUCAUUCAUCUAAUUACCUCAGUAGUACAAAGCAUGUUCGCUAGUCAAAAUCUUCAAACGAGCCAACAUUCUAUGCCUACUGUCAAGAAAAUCAUAAAUCUCAAUCCAAUCAAAACAGAUAGGAAAACGGGUAAAAAGGCCCAGCAAGUUUAGAUUAAUUUUAAACAAUUAAACACUAUCAACAAAGAACUUUUACAUUUAUGUAAAUGCAAAAGCCAAUUACUAACAUAAGAGAAAGAGGGAGGAACUGUCAUUUAUAAAAUCCCUUACAUGGCUUUUGCAUUUGUGACUGGUUUAUAUUUGUAACUGUUAAUUAGCUUUUGCAUUUAUAACUGUUUAAAGUUACUAGUUUGAUCAAGUAAAAGUGUUCAAAUUAAUGAAGUAAAUAAUAUAAAAUCAUUAUCAAGUUAUACUAGCUAUUCAGUAGAUCCCAACUGAAUGUUUAACAGUCCUGUUAAAAUAGGUAGCAAAAUAAGAACUAUAUUAUUUUUAUAAUCCUUUGUUCUUAACCUAAUUACAUUAUUUGUAAAUUUAAUUAUCUCUUUUUAGUAGCCUUAUACUUUCAAAGUUCCCAGUGCAGUUUCCUCUCACUAACAGCAUGCAGCAUUUUACAGACAAUUUCUAGCCCACUCCAGGUUGAACUGGUAACUUGAUGCCAUAGCAAUGGUGCAUACUAAUGAGAGAGCUUCCCAUCAAAAACCUCAGAGAUAUCAUCCCACCCCAGUGACAGCACACUCUGGGAAAGAAGAUCUUACCCCAUCAUCUACUAGCACCAAUCACCUGAGACUAUGGGGGCAGGACUGCAAGUACAGACUGAGGGGACCGAGAACAUCAAAGGGGCAGCCUGGCCUGAAGAGCUGUCUUUGCUGUCUUUUACUGUUCCUGGGACUGUGACUUAGCUACAGCAGGGGACCCCACACUGCAGAUUUCAGUCAAUAUCUCUUUUUAGAGACCUUAUUCCAGAUUUGAGGGCAGACUAAGUGCAUUCACUGCAAUGCCCUCGGGUUCUUGCCUUGGGGCCAGACGCCAGUUCAGCUAGAGGUUUCCUCAAUCCUUGGGCCUGGGACUUUAUCCUUUUUUCUUUCUUUCCUUUCUUCUUUUUCCUUACCUCCCUUUUUGUUUUUCCCCUUUAAAUAAACACCCUAUUUUUGUUCAAAUCGCCAAA